AUGGAGGCCGCGGUGUGCGACCCCUUGCACCGGAAGUACGUCCUACUUCCCCCAGUACCUGACGACCUGGCCGCUUCGGUGGCGCUCCACCCGGCCACGGCGCACGAACCCAGGUGCGAGGCUUUCCUUGUUCCCCUUGACGACGAGGACGAGACGGCAUUCGGUGUGAUGUGGAUGCUACAUUUCACAACUAGGCUGGCAGCGUUCGUCUACUCCUCGACCACUCGGCAGUGGCAAGCUGUUGCAUCCAAGGAAUGGAAUGAGUUGCUCCUUGGACAGGGCGAGUCGACCAUGGUGUCACCGAUCGACCGUCGCUUUUAUGGGCGUCAUUACGCUUAUGGCUGCUUCUACUGGGAGUCCAUCAUGGGGAAGAAAGAUUUGCUCGUGUUUGACACCCGGAGAAUGGAGUUCUCUAGUUGUAACAUCCUGCCUAGAGAAUUUUGUCCGCUAGAUCUGGCCAUUGUGGAGGCAGGGGAAGCCAGGCUUGGCUUGUUCGGUAUCCAUCUUGAAGCUGGAAAAUUUGAUCUCUGUUAUUACAUCAAGCGAAACAAAUGUGAGGGUUCUAGCCAGUGGCAGCUGGAGAAGACAAUCCCGAUAUGUUCGGGGUGCCGGCCUGAUAUCAUGGCUGCAACAGGGAGGUACUUGCUCCUAGGAAAGUUUGGACCCAUGCGGUCCGUAAACUCAACUCCACGCCAAGAUUUGGAAUAUAUCUCAGUUGAUGUCAAGACAUUGCAGCUUGCGAGGGUUUGUACUAAAUCUUCCGGGUUUGCCUUUUCCAAGACGUGGAUAUAUAUCAACUUCCCACCAUCGUUGUCUUCACCAAAAAUAUGA
RNAcentral lists this ribosomal RNA (831 nucleotides) under Triticum aestivum (bread wheat). Its description in RNAcentral is "partial small subunit ribosomal RNA". Lineage: Eukaryota; Viridiplantae; Streptophyta; Magnoliopsida; Poales; Poaceae. The record is from RNAcentral.